This 641-nucleotide long non-coding RNA is filed under the name Marmota monax (woodchuck). The record is from RNAcentral. Lineage: Eukaryota; Metazoa; Chordata; Mammalia; Rodentia; Sciuridae.
CAAAUAUUUUAAGGGAAGAUUAGUGGCAGAGGAAUCAUCUAAGAAAACUGAGGAGGAUCUGCAAGAGUGGGAGAGAACCAAAGACAGCAUUGUUAUGAAGACAUGAUCCUGUCAACUGUGGAGAGAAUGGGAGAGAAGAAGAUGGGCACAGGGACAGGGACUGUGGGCCUCCUAUUCAAAAAGGACGGCAGGAAAUUGGCAAGUGAAGAGGGGAAACAAGAACUAGGCAAUCAGGUGGAUGUUUUUGGAAAGCUGAAUAGAGAAUUAUUUGAAAAGUGGUAAGAUGGAAUAAAGAAGAAUACCUAAGGAAGAUACUGUAAACCACUAGAAGAGCAACUGGGCAAGAGACACACCACUUCCUCUGAGGCAGGAGGUGAGAGGUAGGUGAAUUGGAAAGCAAGGCAUGGGAAAAGUGAUUUGCUCGUUUUAUAAGCUCAGUUAUAAUUUUAACAAGUUAUGUGAGAUCUUGUUAGGGUAAUGAUAAUAAAUGGCUCAAAAGCAAAAUCCUCCCUUUCCUCACAGGGAACUUAAUGCAUAAAGAGGACAAACAGAGAAGCACAAUUCACAAUAGCUAAACUGUGGAAUCAACCUAGAUGCCCUUCAAUAGAUUAAUGGAUAAAAGAAAUGUGGCAUAUAUAUAC